UUGCUUCAGCAGUACAUAAACUAAAAUUGGAACAAUAGAGAAGAUAAGCAUGGCCCCAUGUAAGGAUGACACACAAAUUCAUAAAAUAUUUUGAUGCAAAUUCCU
Molecule: small nuclear RNA, 105 nt
Organism: Jaculus jaculus (lesser Egyptian jerboa)
Lineage: Eukaryota; Metazoa; Chordata; Mammalia; Rodentia; Dipodidae
Source: Ensembl